Molecule: non-coding RNA, 1597 nt
Organism: Manis javanica (Malayan pangolin)
Lineage: Eukaryota; Metazoa; Chordata; Mammalia; Pholidota; Manidae
Source: RefSeq, a predicted model, not a curated record
CGCGCCCGAAACCGCCGCUAGCCCCGCCCCGCGCAGCCGCGGGCUCCCGGGAGACUCGUUUCCCUCGCUGCGUUCGUCGCCCAGUUCUCCAGCACCCUUGGGCGGGGGCUGCCAAGACCGGCCCCAGAAGGUCGUUUCCCCUGCAGUUUCCGGCAUGACAAGGAGGUUUUAUGGACAUGGAAAAUAAAUCCACACAGAAGUCCUGAAGAUGCUGGGACUGGCAGAAUUGGAGGAAAACACAAACAAAAGAAAAAAGAAAAGCAAAAGAGAAAACACCCCCAAUCUUGACAGAGAUGAUCAUCUCAUUCCUCAGACGACUGUGUGUUCUCUUCUUCAUCAUCUUCGGGAAGCCAGACCAAGUACUCAAGGAAACCAGAUGUCAAACCGGAGAGCUUUAUAACACAAAUAUAAACUACACCCACAGAGACUUCCACCAGGAAUACUGCUGACCUGGUAGUGAAAAGAAAGGAAGCCAAAGAGUGUCCCCAGAGAAAAUGGUAUCCAUUGUGGCCAAAGAGAAUUAAUCUUGAUACAUAAGCUUUUUUUUUCUUUAUGUUGGGAAUUGCAAUUAGGCACUAUCAACAUUGAAAUUACACCUCAGUGCCUAGGCAGGACUUCAUUUAAAACAAUAAGUAACUCUUUAGUGAUUCCUUACAGAAAUAUGAGUAGCUCUAUGCUGGGAUAUGAUGUAAUAUUCUUGUAUUUCUUACAUCUGUUGGUGAUGAAAAGUGUAUUUUAAAAACGUUGGCACAAAGCCCAUCAAUGCACAUUAAGACUGCAAACUUUUACUGUCCUUAAAUGCCAUCACCUCUUACCUGCCUCCUAGCUUUUAUGGAAUUUCAUGAGUCAUGUAUUCUGUUGUGUUUUCGGGAUAUAUGUCUUUCUUAGAAAAAACACUGUGUAAUAGUUGUCUUUAUUUAAGUGCUGAAAGUAAACAUCCAUUCUGCCCAGAGCAGAUGCAGUUGUUUUUUGUUUUUGUUUUUGUUGCAGUUUGACUUAUCAGAUUAAUGUGCAGAUGACAAAACUGGCUUCAGCUUUGUUACUCCAAGUUCAGCUAAUAUGGAUUUGAGGGAUUAGUUUUAGGAAUUUUUUUGGUUUGGUUUUGCUUUGUAAGACAAGCCUAUUAUUUGUGAGAGACUUUAACUUAGAAAUAAAAAAAAAUUGGCAUGUAGCUAAUGGUUCUUGCUCACAUUUUGGUUUUCAAUAGGCCUUUUAACUUUUAAACAUAAUUUGAUAGUCUGUUUUCAGGAUUUCUCAUUAUUUCUUUGUAGAUGAUUCCAGUUCACAACUAUACAUUAGAUUAACACAUUAACAAAUUGUCAUUGUGGAACAAAGAUAGAUGCAAUCAUACUGAACUGUUUUACAUUUAAGGAUGUUUACAUAUCAAGGAUAUAGCAAUCAUUGGUAGAAGUCUCAGGAAGUUGUAUUGCUUUUACUUAUAACAUUUAACUACAGUUUCUUACAGCUCUUAUUGUAUCCCUUACUCACACUAAUACAAUGUAAGCAGGGGCAACUGUUUCCCCUUUUGAUGACUGUAUACCUUUUUUGCAGAGGAAUUUAAGGUUGGAUAAUUACUUGCUCAUUAUGUCUUAAUAAU